RNAcentral lists this ribosomal RNA (427 nucleotides) under uncultured Haliea sp. RNAcentral's name for it is "bacterial SSU rRNA". It matches the Rfam family "Bacterial small subunit ribosomal RNA", at positions 353 to 772 of the family's 1533-position model. The record is from RNAcentral. Lineage: Bacteria; Pseudomonadati; Pseudomonadota; Gammaproteobacteria; Cellvibrionales; Halieaceae.
AGUGGGGAAUAUUGCGCAAUGGGGGAAACCCUGACGCAGCCAUGCCGCGUGUGUGAAGAAGGCCUUAGGGUUGUAAAGCACUUUCAAUUGGGAGGAAAAGCUUGUCCUUAAUACGGGCAAGCCCUGACGUUACCUUUAGAAGAAGCACCGGCUAACUCCGUGCCAGCAGCCGCGGUAAUACGGAGGGUGCGAGCGUUAAUCGGAAUUACUGGGCGUAAAGCGCGCGUAGGCGGUGAUUUAAGUCAGAUGUGAAAGCCCCGGGCUCAACCUGGGAACUGCAUUUGAUACUGGGUCACUAGAGUACGAGAGAGGGGGGUAGAAUUCCACGUGUAGCGGUGAAAUGCGUAGAUAUGUGGAGGAAUACCAGUGGCGAAGGCGGCCCCCUGGCUUGAUACUGACGCUGAGGUGCGAAAGCGUGGGGAGCAAA